CUGCCUGUGGGCCUGCUUUCUAACAGGGCGAUCUGGCCAGGGCUCUGAAGGCUGCUUCUCUAUUCCUCACAGUGAGACUGAAUCUGAACUCAGACAUGUACAUCCAGGGACUCCAGCCUCACCAGUACAGAGCGGAGCAGCUGCACUUGCACUGGGGGAACCGCAAUGACCCCCAUGGCUCUGAACACACUGUGAGUGGGAAGCACUUUGCUGCUGAGGUGAGUGAAUGGCAGUAUGGCAGAGAGAACCUAGCACUGGGUCCCCCUUCCACAGCCACUGGGAUGGAGCAGUCUUCACAGCCUUUGUCUCCACUAUUCUGUCUACAGCACGGGAAGGUCUCCCUCCCCUGCACUUAUCCGGGUCUUUGUCCCUUCCUUUGUUGGGCCACGCUGAGUUUGCCUGUUCCUUUCACUGUAUGAUGCUGUUGAGAAGGCUGGCCUUGCAGAUUCCUGGUGGGAUGCAUCUAGACAACCCCCGCUUUGUGCGGAUGAAGACCUCACAGCGUGCCUGGCUGCC
This 516-nucleotide long non-coding RNA is filed under the name Rattus norvegicus (Norway rat). Its description in RNAcentral is "long non-coding RNA NONRATT027827". Lineage: Eukaryota; Metazoa; Chordata; Mammalia; Rodentia; Muridae. The record is from RNAcentral.